Molecule: non-coding RNA, 92 nt
Filed under: bovine gut metagenome
Description: SAM riboswitch (S box leader)
Rfam family: SAM riboswitch aptamer (S box leader)
About the family: The SAM riboswitch is found upstream of a number of genes which code for proteins involved in methionine or cysteine biosynthesis in Gram-positive bacteria.
Source: RNAcentral
CCUUAUAAAGAGUGGCGGAGGGAACGGCCCUGUGAAGCCCGGCAACCUGUUUUUCAAGGUGCCAAAUCCGACGGUUCUGCCGACAGAUAAGG